CUGCAUAUAACCUGAACUUUAAACAUGCCUGGAACACAUUUGGUUCUGAUUUAAAACAAGUUGGCUUGCACCAUUGCCAUGUUAUUACAAAUACAAAAGAAAUAUAAACUUCAUUCCAUUAAAUAACCAUCCACAUAAACUCUUAAAUACUUUCAUGGCUUUGGGCUGGGCCAAAGCUGGAUAUUAAGGAAAUGAUUAUUAAUGUUACAUAUUUUAUUCAAACUGCUCUAAUUCUUUUAACCUUCCCUCCAUCCCUAAAAGUACCAGUCAACCUUUUCCUUCCUCCUGCAAAAUGUUCCCAGGAGGUUAAAACAGAUAGAACUUUGAUUUCAAGCUACUGACUCUUACUAUUUGGAAAUACUCUUUGUUUUCAGUUCCUCAUAGCCUGUAGCUGUGUGCUCUACUUGAAACUUUUCAAUCCUCCUUGGAUGACAGCAAAGUUAGUUAUUAUUCCCUAUAGCGGUGCUGUACAAUGGAAAUAUGUGAACCACAAAUGUAAUUUUAUGUUUUAUUGCCACAUUAAGAAGAGUGAAACAAAACAGGUGACCGAAAAGCACAGCAGCCCUCUUAGUUGCAAAUGUGUUGAGUUGUGUUAAAAAAAAAAAAAAAAGAUGGAGAGGAAUGCCCUGAUUCUUUACAGAUUUGAAGAAUUAUAUCUCAAUUAAUUUUAUAAUUUGAACUUGGUAUUUUCUUGCUCAAAUUCCAAAGGGGAAGAAACCCCAUUGUUUAUCAAGGAAGGGCUAAUGAUUGGGACUCAACACCGUUUGCACCUGAGACCAUGAUCUAACCAACAACUCAUCAGCAUCUUUUACCAAGGUAUUUAUGGGCUUGGGAAAUGGAUACAUCAGAAUUGAGGUAAAAUCAGGCUCAGAUUUAGAAUUUCUUGCACACAAACACUUGGAAUAAAAAAGUCCAAAGAUUUUUGCUGCCAGUGAAUGUAAUUUGCCAUUUCUGG
Molecule: long non-coding RNA, 955 nt
Filed under: Homo sapiens (human)
Lineage: Eukaryota; Metazoa; Chordata; Mammalia; Primates; Hominidae
Description: HSALNT0358008
Source: RNAcentral